AGUAAAGUCAGCUAAACAAGCUUUUAGGCCCAUACCCUAACCAUGUUGGUUAAUAUCCCUCCUAUACUA
Molecule: transfer RNA, 69 nt
Filed under: Gegeneophis ramaswamii (Tenmalai caecilian)
Lineage: Eukaryota; Metazoa; Chordata; Amphibia; Gymnophiona; Indotyphlidae
Description: tRNA-Met
Source: RNAcentral